This 250-nucleotide ribosomal RNA is filed under the name uncultured bacterium. Its description in RNAcentral is "partial 16S ribosomal RNA". It matches the Rfam family "Bacterial small subunit ribosomal RNA", at positions 524 to 773 of the family's 1533-position model. The record is from RNAcentral.
UACGUAGGUGGCGAGCGUUGUCCGGAUUCAUUGGGCGUAAAGAGCCCGCAGGCGGCCUGUUAAGUUUCAGGUGAAAUCUCCCGGCUCAACUGGGAGGGGUCCUGGAAAACUGGCAGGCUUGAGGCAGGGAGAGGGAUGUGGAAUUCCCGGUGUAGUGGUGAAAUGCGUAGAUAUCGGGAGGAACACCAGUGGCGAAGGCGGCAUCCUGGCCCUGUCCUGACGCUCAGGGGCGAAAGCGUGGGGAGCAAAC